This 403-nucleotide ribosomal RNA is filed under the name uncultured bacterium. RNAcentral describes it as "partial 16S ribosomal RNA". It matches the Rfam family "Bacterial small subunit ribosomal RNA", at positions 30 to 526 of the family's 1533-position model. The record is from RNAcentral.
AUUGAACGCUGGCGGCAGGCCUAACACCUGCAAGUCGAGCGACCGGCGCACGGGUGAGCAACGUAUGGGCACUGCCCGAUAGAGACGUGUCACUACUGGACACGGUCGCUAAUACCGCAUACUAUCGGAUAACCCAUAUGGGAUUAGCUAGUAGGUGAGGUAAUUGCUCACCUAGGCGACGAUCCCUAGCUGGUCUGAGAGGAUGAUCAGCCACACUGGGACUGAGACACGGCCUAUACUGCUACGGAGGCAGCAGUGGGGAAUAUUGCACAAUGGGCGCAAGCCGGAUGAAGCCAUGCCGCGUGUAUGAAGAAGGCCCUAGGGUUUUAAAGUACUUUCAGUCGGGAGGCGUUACCAACAGAAGAAGUACCGGCUAACUCCGAGCCAGCAGCCGCGGUAAUAC